Vidua macroura (Pin-tailed whydah) is the source of this 2658-nucleotide long non-coding RNA. RefSeq lists it as uncharacterized. The record is from RefSeq and is a predicted model, not a curated record. The transcript has 3 exons. Lineage: Eukaryota; Metazoa; Chordata; Aves; Passeriformes; Viduidae.
CCCCCCGCCGGACACCCGUCCCUGCUGCCCCGGCAUCUCCCCCGUUCCUCUGCCCCCAGCUCUCACCCUUUCUGCUCAGGCCUUUUCUGCCGUGCCCACAUCCCGCCUUUCCCACCUUCCCCAUCCAUUGCUCCCUCCUCCUCUGCCCUCACCCAACGCUGCCUCUUCACCGUCGCUUUAAAGGUCCCCUUCUCUUGCAGCCCUCGGUCAUACAACGCUAAUCAUCAUCAUCAUCAUCAUCAUCAUCAUCAUCACCGCCUUUGUUUCUCUCAUUGCCUCCUGCCUUUCCCAUCCCGCCCUUCCAUAGGUUUGCUGGUGCUGAGGAGAUGUCAUUUGUUCUCUUUGAUUCUCUGCUGGCCAAAUCCUGCCCCGAGUCCUUCCUGCUGCACCCACUACUGACCUCCUCCUUGCUUCUGCGGGCAGGUACUGCUCCUUGGGCACGAGCUCCCUUCCGAGAGCCUUCCAGCCCUCUCUGCAGCAUCCGGCUCACACAUCCUGAAACCCACCCCACUGCAGGAGGCUGAAACACAAAGUGACGUUCUCAAAGCUCCAGCUGACCAGAGAUGCCAUGCAAGAACCUCUCAGGGCAGGGUUACUGCCUUCUUUCGCAGCUCUUUAUGAAGUUGGUCAGGAUUUGUAUUUUCCUGUGCACACGUUUGAAGAACAGCCUGGAAAGAGGCAGAGGAAGAUCUCUUGCACAGCUGAACACGACUGUGAGGAGAGGCAUGAGGGAACUGACACGUGAAAGUGAGAGCAGUAAGACACAAAACCAGAUGGGCAGAUGGAGCUGCCUGAGCCAACGAUUCAAGCACUCUGGGUUUUGUUUGUGUUGGACAGAACUGUCCUGAGACACAAGCACAAGUGGGUUUCACACCAGGCCUUCAAAAUGGUUGGGGCUUGGAGCACUGCAAAUGGCAGUGAUGGCACACCAUGGAUGUCACAGCUGGGGCAUCUGGAACACAAAGCAAGGAGAUGCAAACCCACGGAUGUGUACAGAGCAGCCCCUCAGCAAACACCAGUGACCACGGUUCCCUCACUCCUGGUGCAGAUGUCCCCAUUUACUUCAGCUGAGGAAUGGUUCUAUGCGUUUACUUUUUAUGAUCUUCAUUUGCUGUGUCUUCAUCUGGUGUGUUUAUGUGGCUGGUGCUUGGUUUUCAUUAUUUUUAACUGCAUUUCAGAUCAUUUGCUCUAUGGUUUUGUUCACAUUCUCCUUUUCCACGAAAUUCUAAUAAAACACUUGGCUACAGAUUUCCCAAAUUGAAUACUGAUGUUUAGUGCAGCUAAUUAUGCAGCAGGGUUCAAAGUGAGUUCUAUAAUGUAACAAUUUACAUAUUCCUGAAAACAAUGGACACAAACUUACAAAUUAUUGCUACAAGCUAGUUUCACAUUCUUCUGGAAUUUCCUUUAGAAAUACAUAUGUUUAGUAUUCUCACACAUAUGAAAAGCAGUAAAUACUGCAUUGCUGGCACCAUUAUAAUAUUUACAGUGAAAAAAUAAAACGCACUCUGAUGUGUCUCAGACCUAAAGGGACAUGAAAAAAAAAAUGCCAGUGUGUUUCCUCCAAGAUCUUGGCACGCUUCACAAAAACCCUUCCCAAAUUCAACCACUCAACAUCCAUCACUAUAAGCCAAUGAUACACAAAGAUCAUUUUACAACAAUGCUUUCGCCGUGGUUGCAACAACAUUACACAUUUAGUGUUUCAGCAUCACCAGCGUUCUGGCAUGAUCAGGUUAAUCAUAACUUUAUUGUUUAAGUCCUGAAUAAAGUAGGUAUUGUUUGUUUUCUAAAUGGACCAGAUUACAGGCAGCCAACCCUGUCAGCAGACCAGCCCAGCCUUCUCAGGAAGAUCCAGACUAAACUGACUUUUAGAAAGGCUGCUGUAACCCAGAACUCUGUUUAUAAAAGCAAGAGCUAAUAACUCAGUAGCUGGGCCUGUUACUGUGAUCCUUUGCGCCAGGCUGACUUGCAGAGACAAUAAUUCUUGCUGCUCCUAAUGCAAGCAAUAUGUAUGCCAACAUUUGCCCGUGGCUCCACCCCACCCUUUUCUAGUUUAUAUUUUUUAAUUUUAGAAUGCUACUUUACAUCUUCAUCAUGUGGAGUGAUCUGCAUAGAAGUGGAUUCUCCCUCAGUCUAUCGCUAUGCUGACCAGGCACUUUCAUUGCUGUAACACAACAAACUGCAGAGCAUGUUCCAGCAAAGCAUCCCUGCACAGAGCAUUUGCUCUGAGCCUCUGAGGGGGGGUUAGAGUGAGAUUGAGCUGUAAAUACACAUCCCCAGGUCCAAGCACAUGAUUACUUUUCCCUCUUUGUGCAUCUAUCUGUGCUGGAGUGUUUAGUUCCUGCUAUUAUAACUCAGGAGGGAAGCUAAGAGACCUGCCAACAGAAGCAAAGAGUAUCUUCUAAAACCUCAACACAACUGGGACAGUGGCUGAACUCACAGGAUCCAGUAUUUCCAAAUGUCACAUGCAUGGAAAAUUUGAAUUACUUUUCAAGUCUCCUUGGCUUGUACUUUUGUAGUUUUACUUACGACCGCUGCCCCAGCACUAUCUGGUUAAUAAACAUUGUUUAUUAAACUGUUGCAUUCAUGUGUACACACCUGUCUGUUUACUCUCUGGGGUUUCACAGGGGGUUGGCUUGUUUGUGUAUGGACACAUAAAAU